This 465-nucleotide ribosomal RNA is filed under the name Vreelandella stevensii. RNAcentral's name for it is "partial 16S ribosomal RNA". It matches the Rfam family "Bacterial small subunit ribosomal RNA", at positions 338 to 795 of the family's 1533-position model. Lineage: Bacteria; Pseudomonadati; Pseudomonadota; Gammaproteobacteria; Oceanospirillales; Halomonadaceae. The record is from RNAcentral.
CCUACGGGGGGCUGCAGUGGGGAAUAUUGGACAAUGGGGGCAACCCUGAUCCAGCCAUGCCGCGUGUGUGAAGAAGGCCCUCGGGUUGGAAAGCACUUUCAGUGAGGAAGAACGCCUGGUGGUUAAUACCCAUCAGGAAAGACAUCACUCACAGAAGAAGCACCGGCUAACUCCGUGCCAGCAGCCGCGGUAAUACGGAGGGUGCGAGCGUUAAUCGGAAUUACUGGGCGUAAAGCGCGCGUAGGUGGCUUGAUAAGCCGGUUGUGAAAGCCCCGGGCUCAACCUGGGAACGGCAUCCGGAACUGUCAAGCUAGAGUGCAGGCGAGGAAGGUAGAAUUCCCGGUGUAGCGGUGAAAUGCGUAGAGAUCGGGAGGAAUACCAGUGGCGAAGGCGGCCUUCUGGACUGACACUGACACUGAGGUGCGAAAGCGUGGGUAGCAAACAGGAUUAGAUACCCCAGUAGUC